Molecule: ribosomal RNA, 451 nt
Filed under: uncultured bacterium
Lineage: Bacteria
Description: partial 16S ribosomal RNA
Rfam family: Bacterial small subunit ribosomal RNA
Source: RNAcentral
GAUGAACGCUGGCGGCGUGCCUAACACAUGCCAGUCGAGCGGCAGCGAGGGGUGCUUGCACCCUGUCGGCGAGCGGCGGACGGCUGAGUAACGCGUGGGAACGUGCCCCAAAGUGAGGAAUAACUGCCCGAAAGGGUAGCUAAUACCGCAUAUUAUCUUCGGAUCAAAGGAUUUAUCCGCUUUGGGAGCGGCUCGCGUCGGAUUAGGUAGUUGGUGAGGUAAUGGCUCACCAAGCCGACGAUCCGUAGCUGGUCUGAGAGGAUGACCAGCCAGACUGGAACUGAGACACGGUCCAGACUCCUACGGGAGGCAGCAGUGAGGAAUCUGCCACAAUGGGCGAAAGCCUGAUGGAGCAACGCCGCGUGCAGGACGAAGGCCUUCGGGUUGUAAACUGCUUUUAUAAGUGAGGAAUAUGACGGUAACUUAUGAAUAAGGAUCGGCUAACUACGUG